GGUACCUUAACCCCGGGUCUGCAUUCGAUACGGGCUAGCUAGAGUGUGGUAGGAGAUCGGAAUUCCUGGUGUAGCGGUGAAAUGCGCAGAUAUCAGGAGGAACACCGGUGGCGAAGGCGGAUCUCUGGGCCAUUACUGACGGAGGAGCGAAAGCGUGGGGAGCGAACAGGAUUAGAUACCCUGGUAGUCCACGCCGUAAACGUUGGGAACUAGGUGUUGGCGACAUUCCAUCGUCGGUGCCGCAGCUAACGCAUUAAGUUCCCCGCCUGGGGAGUACGGCCGCAAGGCUAAAACCUCAAAGGAAUUGACGGGGGCCCGCAAAGCAGCGGAGCAUGUGGCUUAAUUCGACGCAACGCGAAGAACCUUACCAAGGCUUGACAUAUACCGGAAAGCAUCAGAGAUGGUGCCCCCUUGUGGUCGGUAUACAGGUGGUGCAUGGCUGUCGUCAGCUCGUGUCGUGAGAUGUUGGGUUAAGUCCCGCAACGAGCGCAACCCUUGUUUGUGUUGCCAGCAUGCCUUUCGGGGUGAUGGGGACUCACAGGAGACUGCCGGGGUCAACUCGGAGGAAGGUGGGGACGACGUCAAGUCUAUGCCCCUUAUGUCUUGGGCUGCACACGUGCUACAAUGGCCGGUACAAUGAGCUGCGAUGCCGUGAGGCGGAGCGAAUCUCAAAAAGCCGGUCUCAGUUCGGAUUGGGGUCUGCAACUCGACCCCAUGAAGUCGGAGUUGCUAGUAAUCGCAGAUCAGCAUUGCUGCGGUGAAUACGUUCCGGGCCUUGUACACACCGCCCGUCACGUCACGAAAGUCGGUAACACCCGAAGCCGGUGGUCCAACCCCUUGUGGGAGGGACUUUCGAUUA
RNAcentral lists this ribosomal RNA (859 nucleotides) under Streptomyces rhizosphaericola. Its description in RNAcentral is "bacterial SSU rRNA". It matches the Rfam family "Bacterial small subunit ribosomal RNA", at positions 605 to 1459 of the family's 1533-position model. The record is from RNAcentral. Lineage: Bacteria; Bacillati; Actinomycetota; Actinomycetes; Kitasatosporales; Streptomycetaceae.